This 389-nucleotide ribosomal RNA is filed under the name Vibrio parahaemolyticus. Its description in RNAcentral is "partial 23S ribosomal RNA". It matches the Rfam family "Bacterial large subunit ribosomal RNA", at positions 2560 to 2925 of the family's 2925-position model. The record is from RNAcentral. Lineage: Bacteria; Pseudomonadati; Pseudomonadota; Gammaproteobacteria; Vibrionales; Vibrionaceae.
CGGUCCCAAGGGUAUGGCUGUUCGCCAUUUAAAGUGGUACGCGAGCUGGGUUUAGAACGUCGUGAGACAGUUCGGUCCCUAUCUGCCGUGGGCGUUGGAAGAUUGAAGGGGGCUGCUCCUAGUACGAGAGGACCGGAGUGGACGAACCUCUGGUGUUCGGGUUGUGUCGCCAGACGCAUUGCCCGGUAGCUAAGUUCGGAAUCGAUAACCGCUGAAAGCAUCUAAGCGGGAAGCGAGCCCUGAGAUGAGUCUUCCCUGAUACUUUAAGUAUCCUAAAGGGUUGUCGGAGACUACGACGUUGAUAGGUCAGGUGUGUAAGUGCUGUGAGGCAUUGAGCUAACUGAUACUAAUUGCCCGUGAGGCUUAACCAUACAACACCCAAGGGGUUU